CGAACGCUGGCGGCGCGUUUUAAGCAUGCAAGUCGAACGGUAGAUAGUGCUUGCACUAUCGAGAGUGGCGAACGGGUGAGUAACACGUAGAUGAUCUGCCUUGAAGUUGGGGAUAGCCUAUAGAAAUAUGGGGUAAUACCGAAUAAUUUCUUAGCGCUUUGGUGCUUUGAGGAAAGGGGCUUCGGCCUCGCUUUAAGAUGAGUCUGCGGUCUAUUAGCUAGUUGGUAGGGUAAGAGCCUACCAAGGCGACGAUAGAUAGCCGGCCUGAGAGGGUGACCGGCCACAUUGGGACUGAGACACGGCCCAAACUCCUACGGGAGGCAGCAGCUAAGAAUCUUCCGCAAUGGGCGCAAGCCUGACGGAGCGACGCCGCGUGGACGAAGAAUGCCGAGAGGUUGUAAAGUCCUUUUAUAUGCGAAGAAUAAUGCCUGUAGGUAAUGACAGGCAGAUGACGUUAGCUUAUGAAUAAGCUCCGGCCAAUUAC
Molecule: ribosomal RNA, 484 nt
Filed under: uncultured bacterium
Lineage: Bacteria
Description: bacterial SSU rRNA
Rfam family: Bacterial small subunit ribosomal RNA
Source: RNAcentral